RNAcentral lists this transfer RNA (73 nucleotides) under Stegodyphus mimosarum. It matches the Rfam family "tRNA". From Rfam's summary of the family: Transfer RNA (tRNA) molecules are approximately 80 nucleotides in length. Lineage: Eukaryota; Metazoa; Arthropoda; Arachnida; Araneae; Eresidae. The record is from Rfam by way of RNAcentral.
GCCUUCGUGGUGUAGUGGUCAGCACGCUCGACGCGUAACCGAGAGAUCUGUGGUUCGAUUCCCGGUGAAGGCG